This 440-nucleotide ribosomal RNA is filed under the name uncultured bacterium. RNAcentral describes it as "partial 16S ribosomal RNA". It matches the Rfam family "Bacterial small subunit ribosomal RNA", at positions 338 to 795 of the family's 1533-position model. The record is from RNAcentral.
CCUACGGGCGGCAGCAGUAGGGAAUAUUGCUCAAUGGGGGAAACCCUGAAGCAGCAACGCCGCGUGGAGGAUGAAGGUUUUCGGAUUGUAAACUCCUUUUGUUAGAGAAGAUAAUUACGGUAUCUAACGAAUAAGCACCGGCUAACUCCGUGCCAGCAGCCGCGGUACUACGGAGGGUGCAAGCGUUACUCGGAUUCACUGGGCGUAAAGGGCGCGUAGGCGGGAUAGAAAGUCAGUUGUGAAAUACUAUGGCUUAACCGUAAAACUGCAUUUGAAACUGUUAUCCUAGAGUACAGGAGAGGUAGGUGGAAUUCUUGGUGUAGCGGUAAAAUGCGUAGAUAUCAAGAGGAACACUGAUUGCGAAGGCGACUUACUAAAACGUAACUGACAUUGAUGCUCGAAAGUGUGGGUAUCAAACAGGAUUAGAUACCCCGGUAGUC